AGUGGCGGACGGGUGAGUAACGCGUGGGAACCUGCCCUGGAGCGGGGGACAACCACUGGAAACGGUGGCUAAUACCGCAUACGCCCUUUGGGGGAAAGGCUUCGGCCACUCCUGGAUGGUCCCGCGUCUGAUUAGCUUGUUGGUGAGGUAAUGGCCUACCAAGGCAACGAUCUUUAGCUGGUCUGAGAGGAUGAUCAGCCACACUGGGACUGAGACACGGCCCAGACUCC
RNAcentral lists this ribosomal RNA (230 nucleotides) under uncultured bacterium. RNAcentral's name for it is "partial 16S ribosomal RNA". It matches the Rfam family "Bacterial small subunit ribosomal RNA", at positions 94 to 339 of the family's 1533-position model. The record is from RNAcentral.